UCUGGAGACCAGACGUCCUUCUCCUGGCCUGGCAAUCAGUGUGACACUCACCACAGUGCCAAUUGUGUGGUCAUGCAGGGGAAGAAAUGGAAGGUCAACCUGGUCCUUUUCAAGGGUUCCUCAUCAGUGAGGCAAUGGUGAAGAAAGAUUUACGCCACAGUCCUAGAUGAGGUUUUUUUCAAGCCAGCCUUAGACCGAAAUGGGGAGGUAAGGCAGCACCAAGAGAUAUCUGUGGAUAGAACAGUUACCCUUUUCCUGGAUAGUUUCCAUGGGUAUGUUCAAAAAGAUAAGCGUACCUCUUCGAAAUUGAAAUGGAACAAGUUCUGGAAGUGGACGAUGGAUGUAAACUCCCCCCCCCCCGAUUACUUGAUGUGUAUGUAUAUUUGAGUGACUGUAACAACUAUUGUAAAUGUUUAUACACGUGUUAUGACCAGGAUGGUUCUCCAGCUUUAUGUUUAUGUUUGUAUAAUUUUGUAUAUAUGUAUUGCUCAACCUCUCCUUUUGUAUAUGCGGGUAACCUGGUAACAUAAUGUAAGCUAUUAGUAGUUUGUUGUUUCAAUAAACAAUUCUCCAACCAA
Molecule: long non-coding RNA, 578 nt
Organism: Hemicordylus capensis (graceful crag lizard)
Lineage: Eukaryota; Metazoa; Chordata; Lepidosauria; Squamata; Cordylidae
Exons: 3
Source: RefSeq, a predicted model, not a curated record